This is a long non-coding RNA of Harpia harpyja (harpy eagle), 931 nucleotides long. RefSeq lists it as uncharacterized. The record is from RefSeq and is a predicted model, not a curated record. The transcript has 2 exons. NCBI's taxonomy places the organism in Eukaryota, Metazoa, Chordata, Aves, Accipitriformes, Accipitridae.
AAAUUUCUGUAACAGCUGUCACAAAAGUAGUAGAUUCUGAGAUCUGUGCAUACUAGUGAUUGAAGAUAGAACAGCUUUGUUUGUAUCCCCCAAAAUCAAGGAUAAGGAUGCAAUCUGUGUACCAAACCAAAAAGGCAUGAAAAGGUCACUUGCCCUUUUGUUGCAUGUGAUUUCCUGCAUCUUCCUGCAAUAGCACAACUUCCUACUUGUCAUCAUCAGCUUGCUGAGUAUACAGGCUGAAUUCUGUUCUUUCCUUUGAAGACCAGCUUGAAUUUCAGGGCAGGAAAUAACAUUGUAUAGCAAAUCAAAAUUAUUGAAUGGUCCUAUGAUUGCUGUAAAUGUCUACAUUGCUGGUUUUAUGUCAGUUCCCCAUCUUUUAUUUUUGUUCACUUGAAUAGCAUUUAGUUUUCAUUCAGUGGUAUAUGACAUCAGUUAAAAAUUUGUGUGAUGCCCCUCUUGAAAGAAAGAAGAGGUGUGAAUCGGCUUUGUCUUUGGUAAAAUGAACUUCAGCAUUUUCAAAUACUGUGGAUCAGUGAGGAGGAGAGGUUCUACGGUGACCUCUAGAAAACUUGCUAUGCCUUUUUAAGUCUGGAAGGAAUUUAGCUGCAAGAGGUUUUCUAUAAUAGCAUUGAGGAGGGAAAGAGUGGUGGCAUGUUUUCCUCUAAAAUGGUAAUUGGAUUCUCAAGUGUGUGGGUUAUAUCAGAAGUGGACCAGACUGUUUUAACCUCAUCACCUAAAGAUAACAAGCAAUAUGUAUGUUUGGCUGGACCACUCAAUAUUCAGGAAUACUUACUCUCCUUUUUCUAUCAGCAGUUGUAUUUUCACGCUUGAGCCAGAGGGAUGAGGAAGCAAAUUGCCUAGGUUGGUUUUUUUUAAGCUUAUCAGCAUAAUUGUCAGCUAUGCUCAGGUAUAAACUGUUGUUUUAUCAAAA